AGAGUUUGAUCCUGGCUCAGAACGAACGCUGGCGGCGUGCCUAACACAUGCAAGUCGAACGGAGAUAAGGGGCUUGCUCCUUAUUUUAGUGGCGCACGGGUGAGUAACGCGUGGAUAAUCUACCUUGGAAUCUGGGAUAACAUCUCGAAAGGGGUGCUAAUACCGGAUAAGACCACGAGCUCUUCGGAGUUUGCGGUAAAAGGGGGCCUCUGUAUAUGCUUCUGUUUCAAGAUGAGUCCGCGUACCAUUAGCUAGUUGGCAGGGUAAUGGCCUACUAAGGCGACGAUGGUUAGCUGGUCUGAGAGGAUGAUCAGCCACACUGGAACUGAGACACGGUCCAGACUCCUACGGGAGGCAGCAGUGGGGAAUUUUGCGCAAUGGGGGAAACCCUGACGCAGCAACGCCGCGUGAGUGAUGAAGGCCUUCGGGUCGUAAAGCUCUGUCAGAGGGAAAGAAGUGUGGGAGGGUUAAUACCCCUUUCACUUGACGGUACCCUCAAAGGAAGCACCGGCUAACUCCGUGCCAGCAGCCGCGGUAAUA
Molecule: ribosomal RNA, 540 nt
Filed under: uncultured bacterium
Lineage: Bacteria
Description: bacterial SSU rRNA
Rfam family: Bacterial small subunit ribosomal RNA
Source: RNAcentral